ACUUGAAAGAGCGGUGUCCUAGAACGAACCAAUGACAAGCCCCAUUUGGCCUCUUCCCAGCCCGCCCCCUCCGGAGGUCAAAAGCCUUGGUCAGAAGCCCUGUGGCCUGUGCGGUGAGCCCGGGGUCUCCAGGUCGGCCUUGGUUGUUCCGCUCGCCAGCUCGCUGCCCACAUGGCUCUGAGAGGCGUCUAUGGGUGGCUACUGAGCCGCGGACCCAGCCUGCGAGUCCUUCGUUCAUGGAGCUCGGCGGCGACGCAGACCGAAAAAGGCGGGAAGACCCAGAGCCGAUCAGCCAAGUCCUCGCGGCCCGAGUUUGACUGGAGGGACCCACUAUUGCUGGAGGAGCAGCUGACAGCAGAUGAGGUCCUCAUCAGGGACACCUUCCGCACCUACUGCCAGGAGCGCCUCAUGCCCCGCAUCCUGCUGGCCAAUCGCAACGAAGUUUUUCACCGGGAGAUCAUCUCAGAGAUGGGGGAACUGGGUGUGCUGGGCCCCACCAUCAAAGGGUAUGGCUGUGCUGGAGUCUCAUCUGUGGCCUAUGGGCUCCUGGCCCGAGAGCUGGAGCGAGUGGACAGCGGCUACAGGUCAGCGAUGAGUGUCCAGUCCUCUCUUGUCAUGCACCCCAUCUACGCGUACGGCAGCGAGGAGCAGCAACAGAAGUACCUGCCCCGGCUGGCCAAGGGGGAGCUCCUGGGCUGCUUUGGGCUCACAGAGCCUAACCAUGGGAGUGACCCCGGCAGCAUGGAGACCAGAGCCCGCCAGAACCCGUCCGGCAGGAGCUACACCCUCAAUGGGGCCAAGACCUGGAUCACCAACUCACCUGUGGCCGACCUGUUUGUAGUGUGGGCUCGGUGCGAAGAUAGUUGCAUUCGGGGCUUCCUGUUGGAGAAGGGGAUGCGGGGCCUCUCGGCCCCCAAGAUUGAGGGAAAGUUUUCUCUGCGGGCCUCGGCCACGGGUAUGAUUAUCAUGGACGACGUGGAAGUGCCAGAGGAGAAUGUGCUGCCCAAAGCGUCUGGUCUGGCGGGUCCCUUCGGCUGCCUAAACAAUGCCCGCUAUGGCAUCACCUGGGGUGUGCUUGGAGCUGCUGAGUUCUGUUUGCACACGGCCCGGCAGUACACCCUGGACAGGAUCCAGUUUGGUGUCCCACUGGCCAAGAACCAACUGAUUCAGAAGAAGCUGGCGGACAUGCUCACCGAGAUCACGCUGGGCCUUCAUGCCUGCCUGCAGCUCGGCCGCUUGAAGGAUCAAGACAAGGCCACCCCGGAAAUGAUCUCCCUGCUGAAGAGGAAUAACUGUGGGAAGGCCCUGGACAUUGCCCGCCAAGCCCGAGACAUGCUGGGAGGGAAUGGGAUUUCUGACGAGUAUCACGUGAUCCGGCAUGCCAUGAACCUGGAGGCCGUGAACACCUAUGAAGGCAUUCCCAGAGCGGGGCAUUAAUGCCCAGGGAGCUGGUGGAUGCAAGGGAGUGAGAGUGCAGCUACACACAGGAAUCACCACUCCAUUUUAUGUGAGAAAAAAAGAGAAAAGGCACUCAUGACAUCCAUGCUCUGAUCCUCGGAAGGGCAAUCACAGGGAUCCAGGCGUUCACAGCCAGCAAGUGAACCCACUUCACCUGCGAGCCCGGAUGGUACCAAACCCCUUCCCAGGGAAAUACUGCGCUCUGAGCUUAGUCAGGGAGGUGGCAGAUGGAGCCAUUUCUUCUGGUGGGAAGUGAGAGACGCUGAUUUUUAAAUAUCAAAAUUUCCCUUUUGAAGUCAUUCAAAUGUGUUCCUUAAAAAGAAGAUGGGACUGUCUGUACUGAGUUUCUCAAUCCAGUUUUAACUGUGGAUGGGAACAGACUCCACUCACCUUGGAACAGAAGCUCCCUUUGACAGGGGAGCAGGGAGAGGGAAGGAGAGUGACAUGGAAGCAACUUGUGAGGCCCACCUGGUGUCUGACUACGCAAACUACCCCCUCCACACAGCAAGAGUUUACUCUGCGCCCUCUGACCCUCCCAUCUUAGGGUAAGUGCCUUAUGCUGGACGUUGGAGCAGAGUGAGGGGGAAAGAGAGAAUAAUAAAGAGUCUGCAUGUCUGA
This is an RNA transcript of Orcinus orca (killer whale), 2076 nucleotides long. It is a transcript of the gene named glutaryl-CoA dehydrogenase, with no coding region annotated. The transcript is spliced from 13 exons. The record is from RefSeq and is a predicted model, not a curated record. Lineage: Eukaryota; Metazoa; Chordata; Mammalia; Artiodactyla; Delphinidae.